AAAUUGAAGAGUUUGAUCAUGGCUCAGAUUGAACGCUGGCGGCAGGCCUAACACAUGCAAGUCGAGCGGUAACACAGAGAGCUUGCUCUCGGGUGACGAGCGGCGGACGGGUGAGUAAUGUCUGGGAAACUGCCUGAUGGAGGGGGAUAACUACUGGAAACGGUAGCUAAUACCGCAUAACGUCGCAAGACCAAAGUGGGGGACCUUCGGGCCUCAUGCCAUCAGAUGUGCCCAGAUGGGAUUAGCUAGUAGGUGGGGUAAUGGCUCACCUAGGCGACGAUCCCUAGCUGGUCUGAGAGGAUGACCAGCCACACUGGAACUGAGACACGGUCCAGACUCCUACGGGAGGCAGCAGUGGGGAAUAUUGCACAAUGGGCGCAAGCCUGAUGCAGCCAUGCCGCGUGUAUGAAGAAGGCCUUCGGGUUGUAAAGUACUUUCAGCGAGGAGGAAGGCGUUAAGGUUAAUAACCUUGGCGAUUGACGUUACUCGCAGAAGAAGCACCGGCUAACUCCGUGCCAGCAGCCGCGGUAAUACGGAGGGUGCAAGCGUUAAUCGGAAUUACUGGGCGUAAAGCGCACGCAGGCGGUCUGUCAAGUCGGAUGUGAAAUCCCCGGGCUCAACCUGGGAACUGCAUUCGAAACUGGCAGGCUAGAGUCUUGUAGAGGGGGGUAGAAUUCCAGGUGUAGCGGUGAAAUGCGUAGAGAUCUGGAGGAAUACCGGUGGCGAAGGCGGCCCCCUGGACAAAGACUGACGCUCAGGUGCGAAAGCGUGGGGAGCAAACAGGAUUAGAUACCCUGGUAGUCCACGCCGUAAACGAUGUCGACUUGGAGGUUGUGCCCUUGAGGCGUGGCUUCCGGAGCUAACGCGUUAAGUCGACCGCCUGGGGAGUACGGCCGCAAGGUUAAAACUCAAAUGAAUUGACGGGGGCCCGCACAAGCGGUGGAGCAUGUGGUUUAAUUCGAUGCAACGCGAAGAACCUUACCUACUCUUGACAUCCAGAGAACUUAGCAGAGAUGCUUUGGUGCCUUCGGGAACUCUGAGACAGGUGCUGCAUGGCUGUCGUCAGCUCGUGUUGUGAAAUGUUGGGUUAAGUCCCGCAACGAGCGCAACCCUUAUCCUUUGUUGCCAGCGAUUCGGUCGGGAACUCAAAGGAGACUGCCAGUGAUAAACUGGAGGAAGGUGGGGAUGACGUCAAGUCAUCAUGGCCCUUACGAGUAGGGCUACACACGUGCUACAAUGGCAUAUACAAAGAGAAGCGACCUCGCGAGAGCAAGCGGACCUCAUAAAGUAUGUCGUAGUCCGGAUUGGAGUCUGCAACUCGACUCCAUGAAGUCGGAAUCGCUAGUAAUCGUAGAUCAGAAUGCUACGGUGAAUACGUUCCCGGGCCUUGUACACACCGCCCGUCACACCAUGGGAGUGGGUUGCAAAAGAAGUAGGUAGCUUAACCUUCGGGAGGGCGCUUACCACUUUGUGAUUCAUGACUGGGGUGAAGUCGUAACAAGGUAACCGUAGGGGAACCUGCGGUUGGAUCACCUCCUUA
RNAcentral lists this ribosomal RNA (1540 nucleotides) under Klebsiella aerogenes. RNAcentral describes it as "bacterial SSU rRNA". It matches the Rfam family "Bacterial small subunit ribosomal RNA". The record is from RNAcentral. Lineage: Bacteria; Pseudomonadati; Pseudomonadota; Gammaproteobacteria; Enterobacterales; Enterobacteriaceae.